CUAACCAGAAAGCCACGGCUAACUACGUGCCAGGCAGCCGCGGUAAUACGUAGGUGGCGAGCGUUAUCCGGAAUUAUUGGGCGUAAAGCGCGCGCAGGCGGUUUCUUAAGUCUGAUGUGAAAGCCCACGGGUCAACCGUGGAGGGUCAUUGGAAACUGGGGAACUUGAGUGCAGAAGAGAAAAGCGGAAUUCCACGUGUAGCGGGGAAAUGCGUAGAGAUGUGGAGGAACACCAGGGGCGAAGGCGGCUUUUUGGACUGUAACUGACGCUGAGGCGCGAAAGCGUGGGGAGGAAACAGGAUUAGAUACCCUGGGAGUCCACGCCGGUAAACGAUGAGUGCUAAAGGGUAAGAGGGGUUCC
Molecule: ribosomal RNA, 360 nt
Filed under: Priestia megaterium
Lineage: Bacteria; Bacillati; Bacillota; Bacilli; Caryophanales; Bacillaceae
Description: bacterial SSU rRNA
Rfam family: Bacterial small subunit ribosomal RNA
Source: RNAcentral